GACGAACGCUGGCGGCGUGCUUAACACAUGCAAGUCGAGCGGUAAGGCCCGUUUCGGGGGUACACGAGCGGCGAACGGGUGAGUAAACACGUGGGUGACCUGCCCUCAGCUCUGGGAUAAGCCUGGGAAACUGGGUCUAAUACUGGAUAUGACUCCACGGUGCAUGUCGUGGGGUGGAAAGCCUUGUGCGGGCUGAGGAUGGGGCCCGCGGCCUAUC
RNAcentral lists this ribosomal RNA (217 nucleotides) under uncultured bacterium. RNAcentral describes it as "partial 16S ribosomal RNA". It matches the Rfam family "Bacterial small subunit ribosomal RNA", at positions 28 to 242 of the family's 1533-position model. The record is from RNAcentral.